GAGUCAUUGGGACUAAACUAAACCUAAAGGCGCAAUGAAAGUGAAGGUCCGCCUCGCGCGGACCGAGGGAGGAUGGGCCGGUCCACGGGCCGGCCCCGCACUCCCGGGGCGUCUCGUUCUCAUCGCGAGAAGGGGCGCACCCAGAGCGUACACGCUGGGACCCGAAAGAUGGUGAACUAUGCCUGGUCAGGACGAAGUCAGGGGAAACCCUGAUGGAGGUCCGUAGCGAUUCUGACGUGCAAAUCGAUCGUCGGAACUGGGUAUAGGGGCGAAAGACUAAUCGAACCUUCUAGUAGCUGGUUCCCUCCGAAGUUUCCCUCAGGAUAGCUGGCGCUCGCUGUCGCGAGUCUCAUUCGGUAAAGCGAAUGAUUAGAGGCAUUGGGGCCGAAACGGCCUCAACCUAUUCUCAAACUUUAAAUGGGUGAGAUCUCCGGCUUGCUUGAAAAGUGAAGCCGCGAGUAUCGGAUCAGAGUGCCAAGUGGGCCACUUUUGGUAAGCAGAACUGGCGCUGUGGGAUGAACCAAACGCCGAGUUAAAGCGCCUAAAUCGACGCUUAUGGGAUACCAUGAAAGGCGUUGGUAACUUAAGACAGCAGGACGGUGG
This 603-nucleotide ribosomal RNA is filed under the name Garreta nitens. Its description in RNAcentral is "eukaryotic LSU rRNA". It matches the Rfam family "Eukaryotic large subunit ribosomal RNA", at positions 688 to 1251 of the family's 3401-position model. Lineage: Eukaryota; Metazoa; Arthropoda; Insecta; Coleoptera; Scarabaeidae. The record is from RNAcentral.